RNAcentral lists this ribosomal RNA (492 nucleotides) under uncultured bacterium. RNAcentral's name for it is "partial 16S ribosomal RNA". It matches the Rfam family "Bacterial small subunit ribosomal RNA", at positions 28 to 507 of the family's 1533-position model. The record is from RNAcentral.
GAUGAACGCUAGCUACAGGCUUAACACAUGCAAGUCGAGGGGAAACGCCAUCGAAAGCUUGCUUUUGAUGGGCGUCGACCGGCGCACGGGUGAGUAACGCGUAUCCAACCUUCCCACCACUUGGGGAUAACCUUGCGCAAGUAAGACUAAUACCCAAUGACGUCUCUAGAAGACAUCUGAAAGAGAUUAAAGAUUUAUCGGUGAUGGAUGGGGAUGCGUCUGAUUAGCUUGUUGGCGGGGUAACGGCCCACCAAGGCGACGAUCAGUAGGGGUUCUGAGAGGAAGGUCCCCCAGAUUGGAACUGAGACACGGUCCAAAAUCCUACGGGAGGCAGCAGUGAGGAAUAUUGGUCAAUGGACGAGAGUCUGAACCAGCCAAGUAGCGUGAAGGAUGACGGGCCUAUGGGAUGUAAACUGCUUUUAUAAGAGAAUAAAGUGAGUAUCGUGAGACUUUUUGCAUGUACCUUAUGAAUAAGGACCGGCUAAUUCCGUG